CCAGUAGUCAUAUGCUUGUCUCAAAGAUUAAGCCAUGCAGGUCUAAGUAUAAGCAAUUAUACAGCGAAACUGCGAAUGGCUCAUUAUAUAAGUUAUCGUUUAUUUGAUAGUACCUUACUACUUGGAUAACCGUGGUAAUUCUAGAGCUAAUACAUGCUAAAAAUCCCGACUUCGGAAGGGAUGUAUUUAUUAGAUUAAAAACCAAUGCCCUCUGGGCUCUCUGGUGAUUCAUGAUAACUUCUCGAAUCGCAUGGCCUUGCGCCGGCGAUGGUUCAUUCAAAUUUCUUCCCUAUCAACUUUCGAUGUUUGGGUAGUGGCCAAACAUGGUUGCAACGGGUAACGGAGGGUUAGGGCUCGACCCCGGAGAAGGAGCCUGAGAAACGGCUACUACAUCCAAGGAAGGCAGCAGGCGCGCAAAUUACCCAAUCCCGAUUCGGGGAGGUAGUGACAAUAAAUACUGAUACAGGGCUCUUUUGGGUCUUGUAAUUGGAAUGAGUACAAUUUAAAUCCCUUAACGAGGAACAAUUGGAGGGCAAGUCUGGUGCCAGCAGCCGCGGUAAUUCCAGCUCCAAUAGCGUAUAUUAAAGUUGUUGUGGUUAAAAAGCUCGUAGUUGAACCUUGGGCCUGGUUGGCCGGUCCGCCUCACCGCGUGUACUGGUCCGGCCGGGCCUUUCCCUCUGUGGAACCCCAUGCCCUUCACUGGGUGUGGCGGGGAAACAGGACUUUUACUUUGAAAAGAUUAGAGUGCUCCAGGCAGGCCUAUGCUCGAAUACAUUAGCAUGGAAUAAUAAAAUAGGACGUGCGGUUCUAUUUUGUUGGUUUCUAGGACCGCCGUAAUGAUUAAUAGGGACAGUCGGGGGCAUCAGUAUUCAAUUGUCAGAGGUGAAAUUCUUGGAUUUAUUGAAGACUAACUACUGCGAAAGCAUAUGCCAAGGAUGUUUUCAUUAAUCAGGAACGAAAGUUAGGGGAUCGAGACGAUCAGAUACCGUCGUAGUCUUAACCAUAAACUAUGCCGACUAGGAUCGGACCGAAUGGUUAUUUUUUGACCUCGUUC
Molecule: ribosomal RNA, 1054 nt
Filed under: uncultured fungus
Lineage: Eukaryota; Fungi
Description: SSU rRNA
Rfam family: Eukaryotic small subunit ribosomal RNA
Source: RNAcentral